This 480-nucleotide ribosomal RNA is filed under the name uncultured bacterium. RNAcentral's name for it is "partial 16S ribosomal RNA". It matches the Rfam family "Bacterial small subunit ribosomal RNA", at positions 28 to 507 of the family's 1533-position model. The record is from RNAcentral.
GACGAACGCUGGCGGCGUGCUUAACACAUGCAAGUCGAACGAUGAAGAAAAGAAUUGAAGCUUCGGCAGAAAUUCAUUUCGGAUUAGUGGCAGACGGGUGAGUAACGCGUGAGCAACCUACCUCUUACAAAGGGAUAGCCUCGGGAAACCGGGAUUAAUACCAUAUAACAUUGCGACGAAGCAUUUCGAUGCAAUCAAAGCUACGGCGGUAAGAGAUGGGCUCGCGUCCCAUUAACCAGAUGGUGAGGUAACGGCUCACCAUAGUAACGAUGGGUAACCGGCCUGAGAGGGUGAACGGUCACACUGGAGCUGAGACACGGUCCAGACUACUGCGGGAGGCAGCAGUGGGGAAUAUUGCACAAUGGAGGGAGCUCUGAUGCAGCGACGCCGCGUGAGUGAUGAAGGAAUUCGUUUCGUAAAACUCUGUUAUAUGGGAAGAAAAGGACUGUACCAUAGGAGAAAGCUCCGGCUAAAUACGUG